UUUUUUAUGGAGAGUUUGAUCCUGGCUCAGGAUGAACGCUGGCGGCGUGCCUAAUACAUGCAAGUCGAGCGAACAGACGAGGAG
This 84-nucleotide ribosomal RNA is filed under the name Staphylococcus epidermidis. Its description in RNAcentral is "partial 16S ribosomal RNA". It matches the Rfam family "Bacterial small subunit ribosomal RNA", at positions 1 to 81 of the family's 1533-position model. The record is from RNAcentral. Lineage: Bacteria; Bacillati; Bacillota; Bacilli; Caryophanales; Staphylococcaceae.